This 557-nucleotide ribosomal RNA is filed under the name uncultured bacterium. RNAcentral describes it as "bacterial SSU rRNA". It matches the Rfam family "Bacterial small subunit ribosomal RNA", at positions 777 to 1344 of the family's 1533-position model. The record is from RNAcentral.
AAUAGAUACCCCGGUAGUCCACGCCGUAAACGAUGGAUGCUAGCUAUUGGGGGGAAUCGACCCCCUCCGAAGCGAAGCCGCGCGUUAAGCAUCCCGCCUGAGUAGUACGAGCGCAAGCUUAAAACUCAAAGGAAUUGACGGGGACCCGCACAAGCGGUGGAGCGUGUGGUUUAAUUCGAUGGUAAACGAAGAACCUUACCAAGGUUUGACAUCCCGGUAGCCGUUCUCCGAAAGGAGAAUUUCAUUUAGUUGGACCGGUGACAGGUGAUGCAUGGCCGUCGUCAGCUCGUGUCGUGAGAUGUUGGGUUAAGUCCCGCAACGAGCGCAACCCUUAUGAUUUAGUUGGAUUUUUCUAAACAGACUGCCCUGGUAACAGGGAGGAAGGAGGGGAUGAUGUCAGGUCAGUAUUUCCCUUACACCUUGGGCGACACACGCGCUACAAUGGCCGGUACAAUGGGCAGCUAAGCCGCGAGGUGGAGCAAAUCCCAUCAAAGCCGGUCCCAGUUCGGAUUGCAGGCUGAAACCCGCCUGCAUGAAGCCGGAAUCGCUAGUAACCG